GCAAACAACUGGCGAGAAGGGGCGGGAAGACGUAGGGGGAAGGGGUGGUCCGGAUUCGUGGGGCGUGAAGAGCGUGUAGGCGGCCAGGUAGGUCGGUUGUGAAAACUGGAGGCUCAACCUUCAGAGGUCGACCGAAACCAUCUGGCUAGAGUCCGGGAGAGGAGAGUGGAAUUCCUGGUGUAGCGGUGAAAUGCGCAGAUAUCAGGAAGAACACCCGUGGCGAAAGCGGCUCUCUGGAACGGUACUGACGCUGAGACGCGAAAGCGUGGGGAGCGAACAGGAUUAGAUACCCCUGUAGUC
RNAcentral lists this ribosomal RNA (300 nucleotides) under uncultured bacterium. Its description in RNAcentral is "bacterial SSU rRNA". It matches the Rfam family "Bacterial small subunit ribosomal RNA", at positions 496 to 795 of the family's 1533-position model. The record is from RNAcentral.